GAUGAACGCUGGCGGCGUGCCUAAUACAUGCAAGUCGAGCGAACGGACGAGAAGCUUGCUUCUCUGAUGUUAGCGGCGGACGGGUGAGUAACACGUGGAUAACCUACCUAUAAGACUGGGAUAACUUCGGGAAACCGGAGCUAAUACCGGAUAAUAUUUUGAACCGCAUGGUUCAAAAGUGAAAGACGGUCUUGCUGUCACUUAUAGAUGGAUCCGCGCUGCAUUAGCUAGUUGGUAAGGUAACGGCUUACCCAGGCAACGAUGCAUAGCCGACCUGAGAGGGUGAUCGGCCACACUGGAACUGAGACACGGUCAAGACUCCUACGGGAGGCAGCAGUAGGGAAUCUUCCGCAAUGGGCGAAAGCCUGACGGAGCAACGCCGCGUGAGUGAUGAAGGUCUUCGGAUCGUAAAACUCUGUUAUUAGGGAAGAACAUAUGUGUAAGUAACUGUGCACAUCUUGACGGUACCUAAUCAGAAAGCCACGGCUAACUACGUG
This 497-nucleotide ribosomal RNA is filed under the name uncultured bacterium. RNAcentral's name for it is "partial 16S ribosomal RNA". It matches the Rfam family "Bacterial small subunit ribosomal RNA", at positions 28 to 507 of the family's 1533-position model. The record is from RNAcentral.